This 552-nucleotide long non-coding RNA is filed under the name Cyanistes caeruleus (blue tit). Its description in RNAcentral is "lncRNA (ENSCCEG00000002693.1)". The record is from RNAcentral. Lineage: Eukaryota; Metazoa; Chordata; Aves; Passeriformes; Paridae.
GGAGAGAGAGAAACAAGAGCUGUGAAAAUGAGAAAACUUGCCGAGGAGUGUAGCAUCAUCAAUCAGCUGCUAAUCUGCCAACAGUUCAUCUCGAGGCUCAGAUUAGUGUCCUUUCACUAAUGCCAAACAGCUAAUCUGGUUUAGUCCUCAUGAAGAUCUAACCUGAAACAAAGUACCAGAAACAGCUUGCUCAGAAAGUAUCCAGAGAUGGAAGUGCCUGGAGUGGAGGAGCUCUGGCUGGCAGGGAAGGAGGAAGCCUCAAAAGCAGAAUGAAUUAGACACCACCACCACUAUCUGGCCACAGCCCUUUGCUCCUGUAGUUACUUCAUUGUAUCCUGGAUUGCACAUAAGACAAUAAGAGAACAAGCUCUCUGAACGGUCCAAACCACUCUUUCUUUGGUUGGCUUCACUCAACACUGCAGUAGAUUUUAGGGUUUGAAAGUAGAUUAGGGUUUGAAAGAGAGAGAGAAAGGAACGUUCUUCCAAUUAUGUCGGCUUUGACCAUUGAGUUUUGUAUGUGAAUGUCACAAACAUUUCACAACAGGUCAUAUG